Molecule: ribosomal RNA, 275 nt
Filed under: uncultured bacterium
Lineage: Bacteria
Description: partial 16S ribosomal RNA
Rfam family: Bacterial small subunit ribosomal RNA
Source: RNAcentral
GCGUGAGUGAUGAAGGCCUUAGGGUUGUAAAGCUCUUUUACCAGGGAUGAUAAUGACAGUACCUGGAGAAUAAGCUCCGGCUAACUCCGUGCCAGCAGCCGCGGUAAUACGGAGGGAGCUAGCGUUGUUCGGAAUUACUGGGCGUAAAGCGUGCGUAGGCGGUCCAUCAAGUCAGAGGUGAAAGCCUGGAGCUCAACUCCAGAACUGCCUUUGAAACUAGCGGACUAGAAUCUGGGAGAGGUGAGUGGAAUUCCGAGUGUAGAGGUGAAAUUCGU